RNAcentral lists this non-coding RNA (216 nucleotides) under Pseudomonas floridensis. Lineage: Bacteria; Pseudomonadati; Pseudomonadota; Gammaproteobacteria; Pseudomonadales; Pseudomonadaceae. The record is from RNAcentral.
CCUUCGCGGUUCGUUUCAGGUGCUCUGCAAUCCUCCCGAUUGGCAGGGUGAAACAGGGAAGCCGGUGUGGGUCAUGCGAUCCGAUCCCGGCGCUGCCCCCGCAACGGUAAAUGAGUCAAGGCUGUGCACGACGCCACUGUGUUUCAACACGGGAAGGCGCGCAGUCGGGGUGACCCGCUCAUGAGCCCGGAGACCGGCCUGAAUCAGUCAAUGGCA